AAAUUGAAGAGUUUGAUCAUGGCUCAGAUUGAACGCUGGCGGCAGGCCUAACACAUGCAAGUCGAACGGUAACAGGAAGCAGCUUGCUGCUUCGCUGACGAGUGGCGGACGGGUGAGUAAUGUCUGGGAAACUGCCUGAUGGAGGGGGAUAACUACUGGAAACGGUAGCUAAUACCGCAUAAUGUCGCAAGACCAAAGAGGGGGACCUUCGGGCCUCUUGCCAUCGGAUGUGCCCAGAUGGGAUU
Molecule: ribosomal RNA, 245 nt
Filed under: Escherichia coli
Lineage: Bacteria; Pseudomonadati; Pseudomonadota; Gammaproteobacteria; Enterobacterales; Enterobacteriaceae
Also listed under: 2 other names
Description: partial 16S ribosomal RNA
Rfam family: Bacterial small subunit ribosomal RNA
Source: RNAcentral